RNAcentral lists this ribosomal RNA (460 nucleotides) under uncultured bacterium. RNAcentral describes it as "partial 16S ribosomal RNA". It matches the Rfam family "Bacterial small subunit ribosomal RNA", at positions 338 to 795 of the family's 1533-position model. The record is from RNAcentral.
CCUACGGGUGGCAGCAGUGAGGAAUAUUGGUCAAUGGACGAGAGUCUGAACCAGCCAAGUAGCGUGAAGGAUGACUGCCCUAUGGGUUGUAAACUUCUUUUAUAUGGGAAUAAAAUGUUACACGUGUGGGAUUUUGUAUGUACCAUAUGAAUAAGGAUCGGCUAACUCCGUGCCAGCAGCCGCGGUAAUACGGAGGAUCCGAGCGUUAUCCGGAUUUAUUGGGUUGAAAGGGAGCGUAGGUGGAUUGUUAAGUCAGUUGUGAAAGUUUGCGGCUCAACCGUAAAAUUGCAGUUGAUACUGGCAGUCUUGAGUACAGUAGAGGUGGGCGGAAUUCGUGGUGUAGCGGUGAAAUGCUUAGAUAUCACGAAGAACUCCGAUUGCGAAGGCAGUUCACUGGACUGCAACUGACACUGAGGCUCGAAAGUGUGGGUAUCAAACAGGAUUAGAUACCCUUGUAGUC